ACCCCGGCGAGGGGAGUGAAAAAGAACCUGAAACCGUGUACGUACAAGCAGUGGGAGCCCCACCACUAAGCCAGUGGUGAACUCCACAUACGCAUCCUUUGCUGAGGAUACGGUUAACGGAGCGAAAGCGACGUUCAACCGCAAAACAAGCAGAGGGGGCUUAGUGGUGGGGUGACUGCGUACCUUUUGUAUAAUGGGUCAGCGACUUAUAUUCUGUAGCAAGGUUAACCGAAUAGGGGAGCCGUAGGGAAACCGAGUCUUAACCGGGCGUUAAGUUGCAGGGUAUAGACCCGAAACCCGGUGAUCUAGCCAUGGGCAGGUUGAAGGUUGGGUAACACUAACUGGAGGACCGAACCGACUAAUGUUGAAAAAUUAGCGGAUGACCUGUGGCUGGGGGUGAAAGGCCAAUCAAACCGGGAGAUAGCUGGUUCUCCCCGAAAGCUAUUUAGGUAGCGCCUCGUGAAUUCAUCUCCGGGGGUAGAGCACUGUUUCGGCUAGGGGGCCAUCCCGGCUUACCAACCCGAUGCAAACUGCGAAUACCGGAGAAUGUUAUCACGGGAGACACACGGCGGGUGCUAACGUCCGUCGUGAAGAGGGAAACAACCCAGACCGCCAGCUAAGGUCCCAAAGUCAUGGUUAAGUGGGAAACGAUGUGGGAAGGCCCAGACAGCCAGGAUGUUGGCUUAGAAGCAGCCAUCAUUUAAAGAAAGCGUAAUAGCUCACUGGUCGAGUCGGCCUGCGCGGAAGAUGUAACGGGGCUAAACCAU
This 767-nucleotide ribosomal RNA is filed under the name Salmonella enterica subsp. enterica serovar Anatum. RNAcentral's name for it is "partial 23S ribosomal RNA". It matches the Rfam family "Bacterial large subunit ribosomal RNA", at positions 523 to 1190 of the family's 2925-position model. The record is from RNAcentral. Lineage: Bacteria; Pseudomonadati; Pseudomonadota; Gammaproteobacteria; Enterobacterales; Enterobacteriaceae.